AGUGAACGCUGGCGGCAGGCCUAACACAUGCAAGUCGAACGAGCGGCGGACGGGUGAGGAAUAUAUCGGGAUCUGCCCGAUAGAGGGGGAUAACGACGGGAAACUUAGGCUAAUACCGCAUACGAUCGAAUGAGCCGAUGGCGGAUUAGCUAGUUGGUGGGGUAAAGGCACACCAAGGCGACGAUCCUUAGCUGGUCUGAGAGGAUGAUCAGCCACACUGGGACUGAGACACGGCCCAGACUCCUACGGGAGGCAGCAGUGGGGAAUAUUGGACAAUGGGCGCAAGCCUGAUCCAGCCAUGCCGCGUGGGUGAAGAAGGCCUUCGGGUUGUAAAGCCCUUUUGUUGGGGAAGCGGUACCCAAAGAAGAAGCACCGGCUAACUUCGUGCCAGCAGCCGCGGUAAUAC
Molecule: ribosomal RNA, 406 nt
Filed under: uncultured bacterium
Lineage: Bacteria
Description: partial 16S ribosomal RNA
Rfam family: Bacterial small subunit ribosomal RNA
Source: RNAcentral